AUGGAAGAAACAAGUGCGACCUCGCCCCCACCAGUCCUGGCAUGCCCGACCAAUCCAUGUAGUGUACUAGCAGCCAUCUCAGAAUCAGUCAAUAGUGUCCCAAUGACAGAAUUAAGUGAUGCUCACUCUGUUUCAGAGAUUAAUUCCAGUAUGCUUUAUUUUGAUGAAUUCUCUACACCCAAGAAGAGACAAUGCUUUUCUCUAGAUGGUUCAUUGUAUAAACCAGUGUGUGAUGAGGCACUUAAACCAACCAUAGGCAUGAAAUUUGAUGAUAUUGCUGCUGUGGAGGCAUUUUACAAGAAGUAUGCACAUCAUGUGGGAUUUGGUGUCCGCCUUAGGGCGCAAAGGUUGGUGAACAAUGUAAUUCAGUGGAAGCGUUUCUUAUGCUCAAGGGAGGGAUACCGAUCCUCAAAAGGUACUUGUACUGUUAAUUGCUUGGAUAAAAAUUCUUCAAAUAAAAGACGCAGGGUCAGAGUCACUAGGUGUGGAUGUGAAGCUCACAUUUAUGUCAAUCGGGACAAUUGCGGAAAAUACAAGAUAGCUUCAAUGACUGAACAUCACAAUCACGAACUAGUGUCUCCUAGCAAGCAACACUUGAUAAGAUCAAAUAGGAAAGUAAGUGACAAGGUGAAGUCAGUACUCUUUGAUUGCCACAAAGCUAGCAUCGGCCCAGCCCAAGCAUAUAGGCUACUUCAUGUUCGUGCAGGGAGGUUUCAAGAUGUUGGGUGCACCAAGAAAGACUUACAGAAUCACUAUUCUAUGUUCAAAAAUAAAAUCAAGAAUUGUGAUGCUCAAAUGCUAGUGGACCAAUUUGGGAGACUGAAGGAACUCAACCCUGGAUUUUUCUUUGACUACGAAGUCGAUGAAACUGGUACACUAUUGCGUUUGUUUUGGGCAGAUCCAACCAGCAGGAAAAAUUACAGUCAUUUCCAUGAUGUGUUGUCCUUUGAUUCCACAUACAGCACGAACCAAUACGACUAUAUUUUCGCGCCUUUCACUGGUAUCAACCAUCAUAUGCAGAGUGUGUUUCUAGGUGCUGGUUUCUUACUCAAUGAGACGGCCAAGGACUACGUCUGGUUGUUUGACGUUUUUCUCAAGGGACAAUUGCAUUUUUACCCCUAG
Molecule: ribosomal RNA, 1122 nt
Filed under: Triticum aestivum (bread wheat)
Lineage: Eukaryota; Viridiplantae; Streptophyta; Magnoliopsida; Poales; Poaceae
Description: partial small subunit ribosomal RNA
Source: RNAcentral